RNAcentral lists this ribosomal RNA (304 nucleotides) under uncultured bacterium. RNAcentral describes it as "partial 16S ribosomal RNA". It matches the Rfam family "Bacterial small subunit ribosomal RNA", at positions 506 to 807 of the family's 1533-position model. The record is from RNAcentral.
CAGCAGCAGCCGCGGGAAUACGAAGGGUGCAAGCGUUAAUCGGAAUUACUGGGCGUAAAGCGUGCGUAGGCGGUGAGUUAAGUCUGCUGUGAAAUCCCCGGGCUCAACCUGGGAAUGGCAGUGGAUACUGGCUCGCUAGAGUGUGUCAGAGGAUGGUGGAAUUCCCGGUGUGGCGGUGAAAUGCGUAGAGAUCGGGAGGAACAUCAGUGGCGAAGGCGGCCAUCUGGGACAACACUGACGCUCAUGCACGAAAGCGUGGGGAGCAAACAGGAUUAGAUACCCCUGUAGUCCCUGUCUCUUAUAC